RNAcentral lists this ribosomal RNA (253 nucleotides) under uncultured bacterium. RNAcentral describes it as "partial 16S ribosomal RNA". It matches the Rfam family "Bacterial small subunit ribosomal RNA", at positions 524 to 776 of the family's 1533-position model. The record is from RNAcentral.
GACGUAGGGUGCGAGCGUUGUCCGGAUUUAUUGGGCGUAAAGAGCUCGUAGGCGGCUCGUCGCGUCAGCUGUGAAAACCCGCAGCUUAACUGUGGGCUUGCAGCUGAUACGGGCGGGCUAGAGUUCGGUAGGGGAGACUGGAAUUCCUGGUGUAGCGGUGAAAUGCGCAGAUAUCAGGAGGAACACCGGUGGCGAAGGCGGCAUCCUGGACCAAUAUUGACGCUGAGGAGCGAAAGCUAGGGGAGCAAACGGG